Molecule: long non-coding RNA, 763 nt
Organism: Drosophila novamexicana
Lineage: Eukaryota; Metazoa; Arthropoda; Insecta; Diptera; Drosophilidae
Exons: 4
Source: RefSeq, a predicted model, not a curated record
ACAGGGCAAACAGGCUCUAGGUUCAAGGCCCAAACUGAACUAAAAUGCCUGCUUACGUUGAAGCUUUACUUUUUUGUCUUAUCUUUUUAGUAAAAAACAGUAACAUUUGACUCUUAAAUACAAGCUACAAUGCAUACCUCAUCUGUUGCAGGCACAGUAAAUACUCGAUUCCUUAGCUUCAAGAAUGUCCUUUGCCGCUUUCACACUUGCCACCCUUAACCGCUAACGCUAAUUGCCAAGGAUAUCUAAAUACGCACAAAGAAGUGCAUACUAUAACUGCGCGUAAUUGUAUACUAAUGCAAUCAAUUAAAGUUAGGCGCGGUGCACACGUACUCAAGACAAUAAUCGCAAGCGCUGUUUCCUUUGAUAUUAUUAAAUUGCUCACAUUUAUUAUACACAAGCAAGAACGUUGCAAAUGUACAUAAAGCGGGUUGGAGCUGGGGCUGGGGGUGGAGUCUGGGCCGACUGGAUGCUUUGCUGAUGAGUUCAAUCAAGUUCAUUUUAGACUUCAUUUGCAGCGAUGGGCGGCAGUAAAGCGACAUAAAAAAUAUAUAAGAAGAAGUAGGAGAGUAAGAAAAAAAAGAGGAGCAAAAAAGGCCAAAUCAAAUCAUAAAAAAUAAUAUGCCGCGCAAGGGCGCAACAGGAUUUCCUUUUCUGCAUGUGUCUGUGCGGCGGAGACUUUUCAGAGCAGGCAUCAAGAAAAUCAACAAGCUUUUACCUUUCGCAUGCAAAACAGAAUGAGAACAGGAAGUAUGUCUGCCCG